Brassica oleracea var. oleracea is the source of this 390-nucleotide long non-coding RNA. RefSeq lists it as uncharacterized. The record is from RefSeq and is a predicted model, not a curated record. The transcript has 2 exons. Lineage: Eukaryota; Viridiplantae; Streptophyta; Magnoliopsida; Brassicales; Brassicaceae.
GAAUAAUUCAUCUCUUUCCUAAAUUUUUAACUCACUAUCAAUCCAUUUCUAUAAUCCAAGAUGAGGAAAUCCGUUCAACUCUUGUCUACGUUCUUAAUCGUCUUCAUUAUUCUCUCACUAGGAAUGAUGGCAGAUGCGAAAAAACAGUGUCCAUAUAAAAUUCCAAUUAGUAAAAAGUUAUCGUAUUGUGCUGCAACACUAUGUUUGGCUGAUUGUAAGAAGCAACAUGGAGCUGAUGCUAGUGGUAGUUGUUCCGAAGAAAAGGGAUUUUGUAACUGCGUUGCUAACUGUAAGGGUUCUCGCUAAGUGUUGUGAAUAUAAUAAUAUCCAACCAAAGUUUUAUACUAUAUUAUUACUAAUAAAUAUCUAAAUGUUAAAAUGUCUGUCUCA